GUCUGACCUCGGAUCAGGUAG
RNAcentral lists this ribosomal RNA (21 nucleotides) under Pseudocoleodictyospora sukhothaiensis. RNAcentral describes it as "partial 28S ribosomal RNA". Lineage: Eukaryota; Fungi; Ascomycota; Dothideomycetes; Pleosporales. The record is from RNAcentral. RNAcentral also lists the same sequence under 1 other name.